UACGUAGGUGGCAAGCGUUAUCCGGGUUUACUGGGUGUAAAGGGGGCGCAGACGGCGAUGCAAGCCAGGAGUGAAAGCCCGGGGCCCAACCCCGGGACUGCUCUUGGAACUGCGUGGCUGGAGUGCAGGAGGGGCAGGCGGAAUUCCUGGUGUAGCGGUGAAAUGCGUAGAUAUUAGGAGGAACACCAGUGGCGAAGGCGGCUUACUGGACUGUAACUGACGUUGAGGCUCGAAAGCAUGGGGAGCAAACAGG
Molecule: ribosomal RNA, 253 nt
Filed under: uncultured bacterium
Lineage: Bacteria
Description: partial 16S ribosomal RNA
Rfam family: Bacterial small subunit ribosomal RNA
Source: RNAcentral